UAGGGGCUCAUCUAGUGAAUUGGGGGUAUUCUUCGAAUGAGUACACUACCCGCCGCACCUUAGCCGGGUUUCAGAUGCCCCAAACUUAAAAGAAACCUAAAAGGCCGUCAGGCUGCCAGCACCUUCCCAGUGAAGACAGAAACAGUCAAGGUGCUGAACUGGAAGAACCCGGAAUGAUUUCAAAUGUGACUUAAGGGUGUGGGGACUUCGGACUUCUUUCCAACUGGAGACAGAGCCCUCCAUCCCAACUGCAUUCCCAGAGGAAGGAAAGUGGCCAAUCUGAUUACUUAAAAUUUAACUUCUGAGGACUUUUACUGCCUGGUUGUAACGGCAUGUGAAAAUGGCAGGCAUUUUCCCAUCACUUAACCCCUCUGCGGCAGGGCUCAAACUUCUCUAUAAAUACUGGUCCAUUCAAUUGCCUGGUAAAAGGACAUAUCACUAUUACUGCUAAUAAAGCCAACACACCUUCCCAGCAA
Long non-coding RNA from Symphalangus syndactylus (siamang), 476 nucleotides. RefSeq lists it as uncharacterized. Lineage: Eukaryota; Metazoa; Chordata; Mammalia; Primates; Hylobatidae. The record is from RefSeq and is a predicted model, not a curated record.